UGGGGAAUUUUGCACAAUGGGGGAAACCCUGAUGCAGCGACGCCGCGUGAUUUAGAAGGCCUUCGGGUUGUAAAAAUCUUUUUUACGGGAUGAAAAUGACAGUACCGUAAGAAUAAGGUCCGGCUAAAUACGUGCCAGCAGCCGCGGUAAUACGUAUGGACCGAGCGUUGUCCGGAAUCAUUGGGCGAAAAGGGUACGUAGGCGGCCUAGUAAGUUAGAAGUGAAAUAAUAUAGCUCAACUAUAGAAAGCUUUUAAAACUGCUAGGCUUGAGAGUUGGAAGGGAAAGUGGAAUUCCUAGUGUAGCGGUGAAAUGCGCAGAUAUUAGGAAGAAUACCGGUGGCGAAGGCGACUUUCUGGUCAUCAUCUGACGCUGAGGUACGAAAGCGUGGGUAGCAAACAGG
Molecule: ribosomal RNA, 402 nt
Filed under: bacterium
Lineage: Bacteria
Description: partial 16S ribosomal RNA
Rfam family: Bacterial small subunit ribosomal RNA
Source: RNAcentral